RNAcentral lists this ribosomal RNA (363 nucleotides) under Triticum aestivum (bread wheat). RNAcentral's name for it is "partial small subunit ribosomal RNA". The record is from RNAcentral. Lineage: Eukaryota; Viridiplantae; Streptophyta; Magnoliopsida; Poales; Poaceae.
GUAGAUCAAAUGGCCAACGCUCAUGUCAACAUGAACUUCAACGCGUUCCUAGAGAAAACCAAGCUGAAAGAUGAUGGCAGCAACUAUUCGGACUGGGUCCGGAACCUGAGGAUCAUCCUCAUAGCAGCCAAGAAAGAUUAUGUCCUAGAUGCACCGCUAGGUGAAGCACCCAUCCCAGAGAACCAAGACGUUAUGAACACUUGGCAAUCACGUGUUGAUGAUUACUCCCUCGUUCAGUGCGGCAUGCUUUACAGCUUAGAACCGGGGCUCCAAAAGCGUUUUGAGAAACACGGAGCAUAUGAGAUGUUCAAGGAGCUGAAAAUGGUUUUCCAAGCUCAUGCCCGGGUCGAGAGAUAUGAAGUC